RNAcentral lists this ribosomal RNA (511 nucleotides) under uncultured archaeon. Its description in RNAcentral is "bacterial SSU rRNA". It matches the Rfam family "Archaeal small subunit ribosomal RNA", at positions 346 to 859 of the family's 1478-position model. The record is from RNAcentral.
ACCUCUGCAAUAGGCGAAAGCUUGACAGGGUUACUCUGAGUGACUUUCGCUAAGAAAGUCUUUUGACACCUCUAAAAAUGGUGUAGAAUAAGGGGUGGGCAAGUCUGGUGUCAGCCGCCGCGGUAAUACCAGCACCCCGAGUGGUCGGGACGAUUAUUGGGCCUAAAGCAUCCGUAGCCGGCCUUACAAGUCCCCCGUUAAAUCCAACUGCUUAACAGAUGGGCUGCGGAGGAUACUAUAAGACUAGGAGGCAGGAGAGGCAAGCGGUACUCAGUGGGUAGGGGUAAAAUCCGUUGAUCCAUUGAAGACCACCAGUGGCGAAGGCGGCUUGCCAGAAUGCGCUCGACGGUGAGGGAUGAAAGCUGGGGGAGCAAACCGGAUUAGAUACCCGGGUAGUCCCAGCUGUAAACGAUGCAGACUCGGUGAUGGACUAGCUUAAUGCUAGUCCAGUGCCGCAGGGAAGCCGUUAAGUCUGCCGCCUGGGUAGUACGGUCGCAAGACUGAAACUUAA